This is a long non-coding RNA of Peromyscus californicus insignis, 1117 nucleotides long. RefSeq lists it as uncharacterized. The transcript has 3 exons. Lineage: Eukaryota; Metazoa; Chordata; Mammalia; Rodentia; Cricetidae. The record is from RefSeq and is a predicted model, not a curated record.
GGCUGGCUGGCUGGCUGACUGUGUUGGUCAGGAGUUUUGUUGUAGUUUAUGGAUCAACAUUUCAGCCCACUGCCAGUCUGUGGAAGUGCACUGCACUUAAAAAGCUGCCUCCCUGGUAUAGAGUUCCCCAAACUGAUGGCUUUUCACAUCCAGCUUCCGGCCAGCGAGCAUCAAGUGACAUGCCCACCUCCACAUCCCAGCAAAUGAACCUGAACCGGGACCUCCUCUGGCCCGAAAUCUGAGUCCCAGAGCGGCCCAGCCCCCUGCAAGCGGGCACACACAGGGUUUGCGGCGGCGGCUGCACAGAGCAGGACCAGAGGACAAUGGUCCUGUGGGAAGCCGGGCGUUUGUGUGAGCACCCAGGGGGCAGGCGCAGAAACAGGAAGGCCGAGAUUACAGUCCGCUUUACAGCUCUUUUGAAGUCGCCGGAGCCAGCUCGGGAAGCCUACAUAGGCUGCGAGCGAGCGCCCUGAUCAAAGGUCCCUCGGCGGGCUCAAAUUAACAGGGAGCUGGCGAGCCGCGCAGCACCUGCCCGCGAAGAGCCGCGCGGCCGCAAACCGGCUCAUCUUGUCCGGAGGUGAGCCUUUCAGAAAGCUUGCCCAGGCUGAUGGCUCCGGGACUGUCUGGGUCGGAAGGGGAAAGGCGUGGUCUGUUUUCUUUGCACGGAGGUCGUUUGAUUUCCGGCCCGGCGCGCACACACGGUGUGAAUCUGCGGAAUCCGCUGGUGAAUGAGGGCUCACUCAGUUACAGCCAGCUGCUGCAGACAAGCUAAAUUCAAGGGAGUCGGCUUCCUCCCCCUGUACAGUAGUAACACCUCCCACUAAACUGUGAAGUCUAAACGACGUGUACAUAAGUAUUGGGAAUUGAACUUUGGACCCUAUGCAAGUGCAGGAUCACUGAGCCACACCCCCAACUCUUAAUUUGACAUUUCACUGCUAUCCUGGAUUUACAGAAGAUACUAGAAAAAUUCUACAAUUAAAAGUUAUUUUGAAGUUUAUAAAGACUUUACAAAACUUGUGAGAAAAAAAACCAUUUUUUUGUGGCAUCUUGAUCUAUGGUAUAAAUUGUGAAAUGAUUGGAUUGAGCUAAUUAACAUAUCGAUUGUUCAUUGGAAAAU